GACGAACGCUGGCGGCGUGCUUAACACAUGCAAGUCGAACGAGUGGGAACGGGUGAGUAACACGUGGGUAACCUCCCAUCAGAGGGGAUAACACUUGGAAACAGGUGCUAAACCGAUACUGAUGGAUGGACCCGCGGUGCAUUAGCUAGUGGGUGAGGUAACGGCUCACCAAGGCCACGAUGCAUAGCCGGUCUGGGAGGGUGAUCGGCCACACUGGGACUGAGACACGGCCCAGACUCCUACGGGAGGCAGCAGUAGGGAAUCUUCGGCAAUGGGCGAAAGUCUGACAGAGCAACGCCGCGUGAAUGAAGAAGGUUUUCGGAUCGUAAAACUCUGUUGUUAGAGAAGCGGUAUCUAAACAGAAAGCCACGGCUAACUACGUGCCAGCAGCCGCGGUAAUUC
This 402-nucleotide ribosomal RNA is filed under the name uncultured bacterium. Its description in RNAcentral is "partial 16S ribosomal RNA". It matches the Rfam family "Bacterial small subunit ribosomal RNA", at positions 28 to 526 of the family's 1533-position model. The record is from RNAcentral.